UUAAAGUGAAUUAUUAUAAAAUUUGUGGGUGAAGUUAUUAAGUUGGAAAAGUUAAUGAUGAUGUGGAAUUAAGUGUCUUUUUGAUAAAUUAUUCAUCAAGUUUGGAACUUUGACAAAAAAGUUUUCCAUGGUGUCCUUUUGGCAAACUGGCCCCGGUAACUAUAGCAAGAUAAUAUAAUAAUUGAAGUACAAGAAACUUAAAAUAG
RNAcentral lists this long non-coding RNA (206 nucleotides) under Capsicum annuum. RNAcentral describes it as "long non-coding RNA (CANN_LNC001791)". The record is from RNAcentral. Lineage: Eukaryota; Viridiplantae; Streptophyta; Magnoliopsida; Solanales; Solanaceae.